AGUGAACGCUGGCGGUAGGCCUAACACAUGCAAGUCGAACGGCAGCACAGUAAGAGCUUGCUCUUACGGGUGGCGAGUGGCGGACGGGUGAGGAAUACAUCGGAAUCUACUUUUUCGUGGGGGAUAACGUAGGGAAACUUACGCUAAUACCGCAUACGCCCUACGGGUGAAAGCAGGGGAUCUUCGGACCUUGCGCGAUUGAAUGAGCCGAUGUCGGAUUAGCUAGUUGGCGGGGUAAAGGCCCACCAAGGCGACGAUCCGUAGCUGGUCUGAGAGGAUGAUCAGCCACACUGGAACUGAGACACGGUCCAGACUCCUAAGGGAGGCAGCAGUGGGGAAUAUUGGACAAUGGGCGCAAGCCUGAUCCAGCCAUACCGCGUGGGUGAAGAAGGCCUUCGGGUUGUAAAGCCCUUUUGUUGGGAAAGAAAAGCAGCAGGUUAAUACCCCGCUGUUCUGACGGUACCCAAAGAAUAAGCACCGGCUAACUUCGUG
This 492-nucleotide ribosomal RNA is filed under the name uncultured bacterium. RNAcentral's name for it is "partial 16S ribosomal RNA". It matches the Rfam family "Bacterial small subunit ribosomal RNA", at positions 29 to 507 of the family's 1533-position model. The record is from RNAcentral.